Molecule: transfer RNA, 60 nt
Filed under: Paratrioza sinica
Lineage: Eukaryota; Metazoa; Arthropoda; Insecta; Hemiptera; Triozidae
Description: tRNA-Pro
Source: RNAcentral
CAGUGAGUAGUUUAAGUGAAAAUUCUAGUUUUGGAGACUAGGGAUAUAAUUUUUCACUGA